This 322-nucleotide unclassified non-coding RNA is filed under the name Coprinopsis calospora. RNAcentral's name for it is "partial internal transcribed spacer region". The stretch from base 1 to 46 matches the Rfam family "Eukaryotic small subunit ribosomal RNA", at positions 1786 to 1831 of the family's 1831-position model. Lineage: Eukaryota; Fungi; Basidiomycota; Agaricomycetes; Agaricales; Psathyrellaceae. The record is from RNAcentral. RNAcentral also lists the same sequence under 1 other name.
AAGUCGUAACAAGGUUUCCGUAGGUGAACCUGCGGAAGGAUCAUUAUUGAAUAAAUCUGACGUGGUUGUCGCUGGCUCCCCCGGGAGCAUGUGCACGCCCGUCACCUUUAUUUCUCCACCUGUGCACACACUGUAGGCCUGGAUACCUCUCGUCGCAAGGCGGAUGCGUGGCUUGCUGUCGCUUUCGAAAGAAGGCCGGCUUGCCAUAAAUUUCCAGGUCUAUGAUUUCUUACACACCCCAAACUGAAUGUUAUGGAAUGUCAUCUCAAGGCCUUGUGCCUAUAAACCUAUACAACUUUCAGCAACGGAUCUCUUGGCUCUC